CCUACGGGUGGCAGCAGUGAGGAAUAUUGGUCAAUGGCCGGAAGGCUGAACCAGCCAUGCCGCGUGAAGGUCAGUGCCCUAUGGGCGUUAAACUUCUUUUGUGCGGGAGCAAUAAUGGUCACGUGUGGCCAGACGAGAGUACCGUACGAAUAAGCAUCGGCUAACUCCGUGCCAGCAGCCGCGGUAAUACGGAGGAUGCGAGCGUUAUCCGGAUUUAUUGGGUUUAAAGGGUGCGUAGGCGGGCUGUUAAGUCAGCGGUCAAAUGUCGGGGCUCAACCCCGGCCUGCCGUUGAAACUGGCGGCCUCGAGUGGGCGAGAAGUAUGCGGAAUGCGUGGUGUAGCGGUGAAAUGCAUAGAUAUCACACAGAACACCGAUUGCGAAGGCAUCUCACGAAUCCGCGAUUGACGCUGAUGCACGAAAGCGUGGGUAUCAAACAGGAUUAGAUACCCGUGUAGUC
Molecule: ribosomal RNA, 458 nt
Filed under: uncultured bacterium
Lineage: Bacteria
Description: partial 16S ribosomal RNA
Rfam family: Bacterial small subunit ribosomal RNA
Source: RNAcentral